GGAAGUUCACUGUUGUAGUUAUACUAUAGAAAGCUAUCAAGUCUGUGAUUUGAUAGAGGUUUGAUUAUUUGGGGUAUUUAUACCUAAAUCGACCACCAUUAUAUUAUAGAAGCCAAGUGUUGGAAAAGAUGGUGAAGUUGAAGAGAAUGUUGGUGAGAAGGAGGUGGUAUGAUGGAGUGGAGGAGUGUUGGAAAAAUCAUGGGGAUGAUGAUGACGAUGACGAUGAUGACGAUGAUCCUCCUGAUGUGGCACCUGCAGCUUCACUGCAAUCCUCCAUUUGCUCUCCACCAGAUGCAGGAAAUAUAUUGGAGAAAGAGGAUUAUAGCCUAAACAACUAUAAUAUAUAAGAAAAAACAAGUUGAAAAUUUAUAGCAAAAAGCAAAGAGAGAUGUAUUUUCCAAAUAUUGCUGAUCUACCUUUGGACUAAGAUUAGAGAAGGCAAUUUUGAAGUCUAUAUUAUAAUGUAAUUAAGAUUAAAGCUAG
This is a long non-coding RNA of Cryptomeria japonica (Japanese cedar), 483 nucleotides long. RefSeq lists it as uncharacterized. The transcript has 3 exons. Lineage: Eukaryota; Viridiplantae; Streptophyta; Pinopsida; Cupressales; Cupressaceae. The record is from RefSeq and is a predicted model, not a curated record.